This 465-nucleotide ribosomal RNA is filed under the name Vibrio alginolyticus. RNAcentral describes it as "bacterial SSU rRNA". It matches the Rfam family "Bacterial small subunit ribosomal RNA", at positions 213 to 671 of the family's 1533-position model. The record is from RNAcentral. Lineage: Bacteria; Pseudomonadati; Pseudomonadota; Gammaproteobacteria; Vibrionales; Vibrionaceae.
UCUCGCGUCAGGAUAUGCCUAGGUGGGAUUAGCUAGUUGGUGAGGUAAGGGCUCACCAAGGCGACGAUCCCUAGCUGGUCUGAGAGGAUGAUCAGCCACACUGGAACUGAGACACGGUCCAGACUCCUACGGGAGGCAGCAGUGGGGAAUAUUGCACAAUGGGCGCAAGCCUGAUGCAGCCAUGCCGCGUGUGUGAAGAAGGCCUUCGGGUGUAAAGCACUUUCAGUCGUGAGGAAGGUAGUGUAGUUAAUAGCUGCAUUAUUUGACGUUAGCGACAGAAGAAGCACCGGCUAACUCCGUGCCAGCAGCCGCGGUAAUACGGAGGGUGCGAGCGUUAAUCGGAAUUACUGGGCGUAAAGCGCAUGCAGGUGGUUUGUUAAGUCAGAUGUGAAAGCCCGGGGCUCAACCUCGGAAUAGCAUUUGAAACUGGCAGACUAGAGUACUGUAGAGGGGGGUAGAAUUUCA